GUUGAGUUGAGAUAUGAUGUUCAAUUUGUUGUCCAUUCUAUAAUUCAUUGACGCAUCAUUUUAAAUUAACAUAUCCAACUUUUCUCUCACUGUUACUUAUGCUUAACAAUAAAUAUAAAAUGAUGUGUCAAUGAAUCGUAGAAUGGACAGCAAGUUGAACCGCCAAUUUUGGACAGCAGAUCUCAACUCAUC
This 192-nucleotide microRNA precursor is filed under the name Olea europaea subsp. europaea. The record is from RNAcentral. Lineage: Eukaryota; Viridiplantae; Streptophyta; Magnoliopsida; Lamiales; Oleaceae.